RNAcentral lists this long non-coding RNA (739 nucleotides) under Theobroma cacao (cacao). RNAcentral describes it as "long non-coding RNA (TCAC_LNC005747)". Lineage: Eukaryota; Viridiplantae; Streptophyta; Magnoliopsida; Malvales; Malvaceae. The record is from RNAcentral.
UUUUUAUUCAAUUUAAUCAAAUCUCAAGAAAUAUAUAAAAAGGAAUUAUAAAAAUGUAAUGAGAAUGGAACCAGUAUCGCUAAACUUCACCAAUUCCUUCUCUCCGAAACGCGUCCAUUUAACCGCAAGUACCCGCAAAAUCCCACAUCGCCAAGUCUCGAGCCAACAAGCCGAUAUAAAAUAAAAUAAUUUUCUCCUGUAGCACGCCCCCGAGACGUAUGGCUUAGACGGCGUCUAAGCACAGCCCCACCGGGGGCACUUGGCUUAAUGUUGGUCCGGUUCAAUACUGCAGUCGCAUGGUCCUACCUACAUGGACAGGCUUGGGCCAUGUGCCCGCUAAAUCAAUAUGAGAGCCAGACGUCGCCGUGGGUCUGACCGGUGGCUCAUCAAUUCCUUACCUAAAAUGAGCCGUCGAGUUAUCAACAUUAGCCACGGCCGGGGUGGUGGCCGGCCAAGUUUUUUUUUAAAAAAAAACUCAUAUUCUUGCAUUAUCCCACAUCGAAAAAAAAAAAUCGAAGAAGCUGAUGGACCGCAAAGUCCCACAUUGGAAAAACGAGAAAGAAAUUUCCCCAGAAGCUGAUGGCUUCCAAGCGUCAAAGCUCAUACACAAAAUAAAACCCAUUGUUAUCAAAGACUUGUUUCAAAAUAUUUUCAUAUACGGCCUUAAAGAGUGAAAACCCAGAGUUUCAGUUUCACAAAUUGAAAAGCCAAAACCAAAAGAAGGUGAUAUUGGUGGGAU